AAAGAUAAAAGUGUCCGGAAAUGAAUCAAACCCUAAAGAUAUGUAUCUCCCUCCUCGUACCUUAUCGCUUCUCGUCGGCUCCGCCGCCCGCUGCUGAUGUCGGCGAUGCUCCGAUGGACUCCAAAAUUACAUCAUUGAAUCCCCGUCCCCUCCUCUUUCCAAAUUCCCAAAUCCCAUCCCUCAAAUCCUAGCCGCUCUUCUCAAAUCUUAGAUCGAAAUGCCGACUCAAAACCUUACUUGCUCCAAAAUCCACCAAAUUUUCACCACAUAACCUCCUCAUCUUUCUCUUCACAAAUCCGUGGCUAGUUUCUUUUAAAUUUUACCUGGCCGUCUCAAAUUUCAAUUCUAGGGCUGCUAAAGUCAAGUUUGUUUUGGGAGAUUUUUCGCAAGUUCGAAUGUUUUCUACAGUAAGUGUUCCUUAGUUUUUUAUUUCUAUUAGUGUAGUUUAGCUUUUCAUUUUUUUCUUUUCGCUUCAAUCUGGUUGGUUACUAGAAGCUUGGCUCAUAGUUUGGUCCUGAUUUUUUUUCUUGAGUUUUAGUUUAACACGGUGUUAAUCUUGUUAUAGUAGUUUAUUUUUGUUAUAACUUCAUAGUUCAUCAAUCCUUGUUAGCGUUUAAUUGUUAGUAUAUGUGACCAUAUUUUUGUUACUCCGAUAUUUGGCAAAGAUGUUGGUUUAAUUUCAUGCCUGAUCGAUUAUGUCUUAGUUUAAUUUUGUGUUGAUUCAUUCUGAUUAGUUGAUUUUCGGAUAAUAGUUUAAUUGGGUUCCACAUCUUUAGGAUACAUGAUACGAAUAACUGAUUGUUUCUGAUUGUUUGAUUCUAGAUUUAUGUUGACUAUAAUUAGUUGUCUAUCAACCAAGGGUAAGGGUUUGGUUUAGUUAACGGAGGUAGGGAGGAAAUAAGGGUAGUUUAGGCAUGGAAAAGGGUAGUUUUGUUAAGAAUAAUGAUUCCAAAACGAAAGCGAUGGUAGUAUAGGUAUUGUAUAGGUAGAAGAACACCCUAGGACCUUUUAGAAUUGAACUUUAGUGUACUUUCAACACAAUAGAGGUAGUUACUUGCAUAGCAAGUUAAUAAAUGAGUGAGUAAAGUAAAAAAAGAAGAGGGACUGAAAAGAAAACCAAAAAUUUGAUUGUUCACCCUUAUGGUGCCUUUAAAUUGGCAUUCUCAUGCCUUAGGGAGGGGUCUUCUUUUCAGCCAACAAAAAUUCCCCAAAUACUCUCUAGUUACAGAUUCAAAAGGAGAUCUGAAAUCUGAAAUUUCCUUUAGAAGUUUAAGCUUUUCUACAGAAAAGCCAAAAGAAAAACAACAAAACCUCUGAACCAAAAGAAAAACAUGGUUCCAUUGCUUUUUCUCUUAGAUUAUUUUCCAAUUCUAGCUUAGUUAAAUUCUUUAAUCCUUUUAAAAAACCAAAAAUAUCUCGCAAUAUGUUGUUUCUGUUCAAGAUUUGAACGAAUCAUUUGAGCAGUAGUAUUGGGUUAUUCGAGUGGGCUUUGGGAUGUUUGAGUUGGCUGUGGUUUACUGGAUAUUUUAUGAGUAUUUUGGUACUAUUUUUGGUUUAUUCUGUGAUCCUAUUUGGUUUUGAAACAAUCCUAAGACUUAGAGCUUGUUUCUGAAUUGUUGAUGUUUGGUUGUUGCAUCAGUUGACCUCUUCUCUUUUGUUAUUUCACUUUCUAGGUACACACUCGAAAUUCUGUUGUAACCCCAUGCUUGAAAUGGAAUAAAAUUACCCAGCUAUUUUGAUCCUGAGAUUUUCCUGCUAGUUGUUACAUAUUCAUAGUUAAAUAGAUAUUAUAUGUGUUGUUUAAUAUAGUUAAGUGUCAAUUGGUUGUGUAUAAACUGUGGACUGUAUGGACUGUCACUAUUACUCUUGAUUGAAUUUCAUUAGUAAGAGCAGACGUAAUUAUUUUUUAUCCAAACUACAAAGUGAUCUUAUUUCAGGAAUGCUUCAAUUAAAAGUGUUAGUUUCAUGAUAGGUUAAUGGCAUCGUCUUAUAAAGGAUUUGUUAAAUCGUUUCUGAUUUGUGUAAGUAAUAGGACAUAACGUUAACAGCAUACUCACAACUUAGGUUCAAUUGUCAUGCCAAUUUAAAGUAUAUGAGUUUUUCACCUUAGUUCCAGAUUUUCUUUUUACCUUAGUGAUAUCUAGUAACUUUUCAAAUAGAAAAUAAUAUGAGUAAAAUUUGAAAAUCAAGGUGAUCAUUGUUGAGUCAAUCUGAAUAGGCGUAUGUUGUUUCCCUGCAUUACAAACGUGUUGAAUGAUUUUUGAUAACUGUGGUGGAAUUCUAGGUCUGCACGGAACUGAGGCUUCACUUGAUUCAGCCAGCAGCCUGACUGCAGGCAGUUGGGCCUAAAUGCAUCAAUAAGCAGCCCAGGCCAUGCUGAUUUCUUCACAUGACCUAUGUCCAAGAAAUUUGAACGCAUGUAUUCAUGGAAU
This 2432-nucleotide long non-coding RNA is filed under the name Nicotiana benthamiana. RNAcentral describes it as "long non-coding RNA (NBEN_LNC035741)". The record is from RNAcentral. Lineage: Eukaryota; Viridiplantae; Streptophyta; Magnoliopsida; Solanales; Solanaceae.